Molecule: ribosomal RNA, 484 nt
Filed under: uncultured bacterium
Lineage: Bacteria
Description: partial 16S ribosomal RNA
Rfam family: Bacterial small subunit ribosomal RNA
Source: RNAcentral
AUUGAACGCUGGCGGCAGGCCUAACACAUGCAAGUCGAGCGGAUGAAGGGAGCUUGCUCCUGGAUUCAGCGGCGGACGGGUGAGUAAUGCCUAGGAAUCUGCCUGGUAGUGGGGGAUAACGUCCGGAAACGGGCGCUAAUACCGCAUACGUCCUGAGGGAGAAAGUGGGGGAUCUUCGGACCUCACGCUAUCAGAUGAGCCCAGGUCGGAUUAGCUAGUUGGUGGGGUAAAGGCCUACCAAGGCGACGAUCCGUAACUGGUCUGAGAGGAUGAUCAGUCACACUGGAACUGCGACACGGUCCAGACUCCUACGGGAGGCAGCAGUGGGGAAUAUUGGACAAUGGGCGAAAGCCUGAUCCAGCCAUGCCGCGUGUGUGAAGAAGGUCUUCGGAUUGUAAAGCACUUUAAGUUGGGAGGAAGGGCAGUAAGUUAAUACCUUGCUGUUUUGACGUUACCAACAGAAUAAGCACCGGCUAACUUCGUG